RNAcentral lists this unclassified non-coding RNA (433 nucleotides) under soil metagenome. Its description in RNAcentral is "partial contains 5.8S ribosomal RNA, internal transcribed spacer 2, and large subunit ribosomal RNA". The stretch from base 1 to 120 matches the Rfam family "5.8S ribosomal RNA", at positions 35 to 154 of the family's 154-position model. The record is from RNAcentral.
GAUGAAGAACGUAGUGAAAUGCGAUACGUAAUGUGAAUUGCAGAAUUCAGUGAAUCAUCGAAUCUUUGAACGCAUAUUGCGCUCUCUGGUAUUCCGGAGAGCAUGCUUGUUUGAGUAUCAGUAAACACCUCAACUUCCAUAUCUUUUUUGAAAUGGGAGUUGGACUUGAGUGAUCCCAACGCUUUUCCUCACCGAAAAGUGGCGGGUUACUUGAAAUGCAGGUGCAGCUGGACUUUUCUCUGAGCUAUAAGCAUAUCUAUUUAGUCUGCCUAAAAAACAGAUUAUUUCCUUUGCUGCAGCUAACAUAAAGGAGAUUAGUUCUUGUGCUGACUGAUGCAGGAUUCACAAAGACAGGCUUCGGCCGACUUUGUAAACUCGAUCUCAAAUCAAGUAAGACUACCCGCUGAACUUAAGCAUAUCAAUAAGCGGAGGA